RNAcentral lists this ribosomal RNA (437 nucleotides) under uncultured bacterium. RNAcentral describes it as "partial 16S ribosomal RNA". It matches the Rfam family "Bacterial small subunit ribosomal RNA", at positions 28 to 507 of the family's 1533-position model. The record is from RNAcentral.
GAUGAACGCUGGCGGCAUGCCCAACACAUGCAAGUCGGACGGGCAGUGGUGUUUCUUGUGGCGGUCGGGUUAGUAACGCGUAAGAACCUGCCCUUGGGAUGGGAACAAUAGCUGGAAACGGCUGCUAAUACCCCGCAGGCUUAGGAGCAAAAGGAGUAUUCCGCCCGAGGAGUGGCUUGCGUCUGAUUAUCUAGUUGGUGCAGCAAUAGCUGACCAAGGAGAUGAUCCGGAGAUGGUCGGAGAGGAUGAUCGGCCACACUGGUACUGAGACACGGAGCAGGCACCUACGGGAAACAGGAGAAGGGAAGACUGAGCAAUGGGGGGUGGCUUGAGAAAGCAAUGGCAUGUGAAAGCAGUGGGAGCAGGGGAGAAGAAAUGCUUAAGUCGCUGAAGAAGCCAUGACGGUAUCUGAGGAGUAAGCAACGGCUAACUCUGUG